This 72-nucleotide transfer RNA is filed under the name Escherichia coli. RNAcentral describes it as "tRNA-Glu". It matches the Rfam family "tRNA". From Rfam's summary of the family: Transfer RNA (tRNA) molecules are approximately 80 nucleotides in length. Their secondary structure includes four short double-helical elements and three loops (D, anti-codon, and T loops). The record is from RNAcentral. Lineage: Bacteria; Pseudomonadati; Pseudomonadota; Gammaproteobacteria; Enterobacterales; Enterobacteriaceae.
GGCCCGUUGGUCAAGCGGUUAAGACACCGCCCUUUCACGGCGGUAACAGGGGUUCGAAUCCCGUACGGGUCA